This 129-nucleotide ribosomal RNA is filed under the name Helicobacter pylori. Its description in RNAcentral is "partial 16S ribosomal RNA". It matches the Rfam family "Bacterial small subunit ribosomal RNA", at positions 1 to 122 of the family's 1533-position model. Lineage: Bacteria; Pseudomonadati; Campylobacterota; Epsilonproteobacteria; Campylobacterales; Helicobacteraceae. The record is from RNAcentral.
UUUUAUGGAGAGUUUGAUCCUGGCUCAGAGUGAACGCUGGCGGCGUGCCUAAUACAUGCAAGUCGAACGAUGAAGCUUCUAGCUUGCUAGAAUGCUGAUUAGUGGCGCACGGGUGAGUAACGCAUAGGU